This 72-nucleotide microRNA precursor is filed under the name Pelodiscus sinensis (Chinese soft-shelled turtle). RNAcentral's name for it is "miRNA (ENSPSIG00000019330.1)". Lineage: Eukaryota; Metazoa; Chordata; Testudines; Trionychidae. The record is from RNAcentral.
CAGAUCCAAAGCCCAUUGCAUACAAUAGGAGACUUUCCAUUGACUUCAGUGGGCUUUAGAUCAGGCUCUAAA